GGGGCAGAUAGGGGUGGGUGUCCAAACACUGAUACUGCCACCUGUGGGCUACUUAACACUUUAUUAUGUGUACAUAUUAAGUUUAAUAAUUGAAAAAAAAAAAUUAUGAAAAAGUUGCAUCAAUUGAGAAAUGUGGCAACAUGAACAUGCUUAUACUUCAAUAUAUAUUAGUGAUGAUAUCUGUAUCAUCGCUAAUUAUAAUACUGCACAUUUGUAUUGGACAAUAUGGAUGUUUAAGUAAUAUGUAUAUACACUGCUUCUGUCAAUGUAUGAAGUCUUAAAAGUUUGUUAUAUUGCCGUACAUACAAUCAUGGUUAUUUGCACUGUAAUGAUUUUCCAACGGUUUGGGUUAUAUAUAGAACAACCACUUAUAGAGCCAAAUAUUUGCGAAAAAUAUUCAUAACUUAUAAUGUAUCUGUACAGUAACGGAAGUUAAAUCCAAAGUUGUUUUAAUUCUUUUAUGGCAAACAGAUAAAAAUUCAAAUCAGAGAAGACAUUUAGGUGAUUGAUUAUAUAUUUAAAUUGUUAGUGAUGUGCGUGUAUCAUUUAUAUAUGCAUAUAAAAUUGAUUUUUUUUGUUGUUGUUUUUGUUAAUGUUGCAAAAAAAUUGCCAUAUAUUUGAGAUAAGUUCUAUGAGGUGCACAGUAUAUUUAAUGAUUGUUUAACUUAUGCUAUUGAGACAGUUAUGAAAUACUAGAAAGUUCAAGAAAGCAUCAUUCCAUUCUUUAGUAGUUGUAAUAAUCUUUCAGUGUCUGAUUAAUUUUGCAGUUGAAGAAAAGUGUAAUAAUCUUUUAGUUUAUUAUUCAUUUUGCUGUUGAAGAAAAGUGUAAUAAUCUUUUAGUUUAUUAUUCAUUUUGCAGUUGAAGAAAAGUCUAAUAAUCUUUUAGUUUAUUAUUCAUUUGCAGUUGAAGAAAGGUGUAAUAAUCUUUUAGUUUAUUAUUCAUUUUGCAGUAGAGGAAAGGUGUAAUAAUCUUUUAGUUUAUAGUUCAGAAAGGUUUGAUAAUCUUUUAGUCUGUGAUUCAUUUUGCAAUUGAUUUCUUUUGAGAAAAAAAAUUGUUUUUAGACCUGCAAAAUGAACAUAUAAGAUCUCUUUUGCUUACAAUUGUGUUAUCUGGCAUACAUUUCAACCUAGAACAGAUAAAGCACUCAUAUACGAGGGGUUAUCCAAAAAUUUGUGGACUUUUUUUUGUUGCAAAAAAUUUAUUUGAGAUAUUAAUUUAAAAAUCCUUACAAUGCUUAGAAGAAUUAAUAACAAAUAAACACAGAAAAAUUCAUAUUAGUAGCUUCUUAUAUUGCAACAAUAUAUAAUUUUACAUAAACACAUGUCAACCACAGCGGUGCACUCUAAAAAGUCAUUUCCCGUUGUAAACAAUAUCAGCGUUUUGCGUUUGUGGCGAUAUAAACAAAAAUAAACGGAAAUGAUUUAUUAUAUUUAAGAAUUACUUACAUGACAUCAUAGAAGAAACAUGUGAUGUUUAGCAGGUUUUCUACGUUAAAUUUUUAGUUUUUUUGCAAGAAAUAUAAUAUGACUUACUGCGCUUUUCUACCGGGUGGCGUGUAUGUGCUUAUUUAAAAGCAAUAUAAAAUCAUUAUUUAUUGACACAGUUAACUGUUCCUUUCAAAAUGUAUUGAUAAUAUUCUACAAUGUAUUCUAAUAAAAUUUCAUUACAAUACACGUUGGCGUUCAAGAGAUAUUUAAAAAGUCCACAAAUUUGGAUAACCCCUCGUAUGACCCAGUUAAGACUUCUGUUACAUUAAAAACUGUGUGUGUAUUUUGGAGUUAAAGCAGUUUUCAAGUAUGUCACAUUUGUUAAGCAAUUUGUUAAGUUAAGUCGCCUAAUUUAUCCCACUUUGUAAAAAGUGUUCAGUUAUGAUGAUCAUUUAUUUUGAGUCAGAAACAGCAUAGAUUUCUGGAACAACUGUUGAUUGGUUUAUUGACUUAAGUCUGAUUAUCAAUCUUGCAGUAUGACUUAAAUGUCAUUAUAAUAUCAGUUUCAGCUGAAAUAUUAACUUUCUUUAUAGAACAGAACAAAACAGAUAAUUAAUAAUUUAUAAUUAAGUGAUAUUUCUUUGCAUUAUCAUUAGUUUGUUUUGUUUUUCUUAACAAUUAUAACAUCAACAUGUGAGCUGGGCAAAAUAGCUAAAGCUCUCAGAGCCAUUAUUCAUAUUGCCUUUAAUUUCCACCCUACUGUGUAUUAAAAUUAGUAUAGAAAUAUUGUGUAGAAAUAUUGAACAUUUAAGUGCUUUCUUGAUA
Molecule: long non-coding RNA, 2253 nt
Organism: Ruditapes philippinarum (Manila clam)
Lineage: Eukaryota; Metazoa; Mollusca; Bivalvia; Venerida; Veneridae
Exons: 2
Source: RefSeq, a predicted model, not a curated record